This 23-nucleotide microRNA is filed under the name Bovine foamy virus. Its description in RNAcentral is "bfv-miR-BF2-3p". Its record names the gene bfv-miR-BF2-3p. Lineage: Riboviria; Pararnavirae; Artverviricota; Revtraviricetes; Ortervirales; Retroviridae. The record is from miRBase by way of RNAcentral.
UCAGGCGGUAUGCUUUCUACUUU